AGGACGAACGCUGGCGGCGUGCUUAACACAUGCAAGUCGAACGGUAAGGCCCCUUCGGGGGUACACGAGUGGCGAACGGGUGAGUAACACGUGGGUAAUCUGCCCUGCACUUCGGGAUAAGCCUGGGAAACCGGGUCUAAUACCGGAUAUGAGCUCCUGCCGCAUGGUAGGGGUUGGAAAGUUUUUCGGUGCAGGAUGAGUCCGCGGCCUAUCAGCUUGUUGGUGGGGUAAUGGCCUACCAAGGCGACGACGGGUAGCCGGCCUGAGAGGGUGAUCGGCCACACUGGGACUGAGACACGGCCCAGACUCCUACGGGAGGCAGCAGUGGGGAAUAUUGCACAAUGGGCGGAAGCCUGAUGCAGCGACGCCGCGUGGGGGAUGACGGUCUUCGGAUUGUAAACUCCUUUCAGUAGGGACGAAGCGGAGUGACGGUACCUGCAGAAGAAGCACCGGCAACACGUGCCAGCAGCCGC
RNAcentral lists this ribosomal RNA (473 nucleotides) under uncultured soil bacterium. RNAcentral describes it as "bacterial SSU rRNA". It matches the Rfam family "Bacterial small subunit ribosomal RNA", at positions 26 to 518 of the family's 1533-position model. The record is from RNAcentral.